This 253-nucleotide ribosomal RNA is filed under the name uncultured bacterium. RNAcentral's name for it is "partial 16S ribosomal RNA". It matches the Rfam family "Bacterial small subunit ribosomal RNA", at positions 524 to 776 of the family's 1533-position model. The record is from RNAcentral.
UACGGAGGGUGCAAGCGUUAUCCGGAUUCACUGGGUUUAAAGGGUGCGUAGGAGGGUAGGAAAGUCAGUGGUGAAAUCUCCGGGCUUAACUCGGAAACUGCCGUUGAUACUACUUAUCUUGAAUAUCGUGGAGGUGAGCGGAAUAUGUCAUGUAGCGGUGAAAUGCUUAGAUAUGACAUAGAACACCAAUUGCGAAGGCAGCUCGCUACACGAAUAUUGACUCUGAGGCACGAAAGCGUGGGGAUCAAACAGG